UGCUACCCUACUGUGAAUUAGAGGGCC
RNAcentral lists this non-coding RNA (27 nucleotides) under Rattus norvegicus (Norway rat). The record is from RNAcentral. Lineage: Eukaryota; Metazoa; Chordata; Mammalia; Rodentia; Muridae.